UAGGAUUAGAUACCCUAUUACUCUAAAUUUAUUCCAGAACGAUAAUUUGAAAUUAACAAAAUUGGCGGUUUUUUUACUAUUUAGAGGAGUUUGUUUUUAGAAAGGAUACUACCCCCAUCAGUUUACUUUAAUUCAAGUUUUUAUAUCGCUGUUGUUAAAAUAUAAUUGAAUUUCAUAUUUUAAAUUUUAAUUUAAAAUACUUCAAGUCAAGGUGAAACUAUAUUAAAGCAAAAAUGAACUACAAUAAAGAUUUUUAUUACGAAAUAAAGAAAUUAAUUUUUUAGGAAGGAGGAUUUAAAAGUAAAGUUGAUAAAACUAUGAAUCAAGAUCAGGAAAAUGCACAUAUCGCCCGUC
RNAcentral lists this ribosomal RNA (354 nucleotides) under Austropurcellia despectata. RNAcentral's name for it is "partial 12S ribosomal RNA". The record is from RNAcentral. Lineage: Eukaryota; Metazoa; Arthropoda; Arachnida; Opiliones; Pettalidae.